ACCCGAAACCCGGUGAUCUAGCCAUGGGCAGGUUGAAGGUUGGGUAACACUAACUGGAGGACCGAACCGACUAAUGUUGAAAAAUUAGCGGAUGACUUGUGGCUGGGGGGGAAAGGCCAAUCAAACCGGGAGAUAGCUGGUUCUCCCCGAAAGCUAUUUAGGUAGCGCCUCGUGAAUUCAUCUCCGGGGGUAGAGCACUGUUUCGGCAAGGGGGUCAUCCCGACUUACCAACCCGAUGCAAACUGCGAAUACCGGAGAAUGUUAUCACGGGAGACACACGGCGGGUGCUAACGUCCGUCGUGAAGAGGGAAACAACCCAGACCGCCAGCUAAGGUCCCAAAGUCAUGGUUAAGUGGGAAACGAUGUGGGAAGGCCCAGACAGCCAGGAUGUUGGCUUAGAAGCAGCCAUCAUUUAAAGAAAGCGUAAUAGCUCACUGGUCGAGUCGGCCUGCGCGGAAGAUGUAACGGGGCUAAACCAUGCACCGAAGCUGCGGCAGCGACGCUGAUGCGUUGUUGGGUAGGGGAGCGUUCUGUAAGCCUGCGAAGGUGUGCUGUGAGGCAUGCUGGAGGUAUCAGAA
Molecule: ribosomal RNA, 578 nt
Filed under: Escherichia coli
Lineage: Bacteria; Pseudomonadati; Pseudomonadota; Gammaproteobacteria; Enterobacterales; Enterobacteriaceae
Description: bacterial LSU rRNA
Rfam family: Bacterial large subunit ribosomal RNA
Source: RNAcentral